UACGUAGGGUGCAAGCGUUGUCCGGAAUUAUUGGGCGUAAAGAGCUCGUAGGCGGUUUGUCGCGUCUGCUGUGAAAACUCAGGGCUUAACUCUGAGCUUGCAGUGGGUACGGGCAGACUAGAGUGCGGUAGGGGAGACUGGAAUUCCUGGUGUAGCGGUGAAAUGCGCAGAUAUCAGGAGGAACACCGGUGGCGAAGGCGGGUCUCUGGGCCGUAACUGACGCUGGAGGAGCGAAAAGCAUGGGAGCGAACAGG
Molecule: ribosomal RNA, 254 nt
Filed under: uncultured bacterium
Lineage: Bacteria
Description: partial 16S ribosomal RNA
Rfam family: Bacterial small subunit ribosomal RNA
Source: RNAcentral